UACGUAGGGGGCAAGCGUUGUCCGGAGUUACUGGGCGUAAAGCGCACGCAGGCGGUCUGUUAAGUUUGGAGUGACAGUUGGUGGCUUAACUGCCAAAGUGCUUCGAAAACUGAUCGACUUGAGGGCUUCAGAGGGACACGGAAUUCCGGGUGGAGUGGUGAAAUGCGUAGAGAUCCGGAGGAACACCGGUGGCGAAGGCGGUCUGCUGGGGUCGAACUGACGCUGAUGCGCGACAGCGUGGGGAGCAAACAGG
This 253-nucleotide ribosomal RNA is filed under the name uncultured bacterium. Its description in RNAcentral is "partial 16S ribosomal RNA". It matches the Rfam family "Bacterial small subunit ribosomal RNA", at positions 524 to 776 of the family's 1533-position model. The record is from RNAcentral.